GCGAUGAUGGUUUAAGGGUAAAAUCCAGGCUUCCCAUGCCUGGGCUCCGGGUUCGAGUCCCGGUCAUCGCA
RNAcentral lists this transfer RNA (71 nucleotides) under Bipolaris sorokiniana ND90Pr. Its description in RNAcentral is "tRNA-Gly (CCC) (tRNA-Gly-CCC-1-1)". It matches the Rfam family "tRNA". Rfam says of the family: Transfer RNA (tRNA) molecules are approximately 80 nucleotides in length. Their secondary structure includes four short double-helical elements and three loops (D, anti-codon, and T loops). Further hydrogen bonds mediate the characteristic L-shaped molecular structure. tRNAs have two regions of fundamental functional importance: the anti-codon, which is responsible for specific mRNA codon recognition, and the 3' end, to which the tRNAs corresponding amino acid is attached (by aminoacyl-tRNA synthetases). tRNAs cope with the degeneracy of the genetic code in two manners: having more than one tRNA (with a specific anti-codon) for a particular amino acid; and 'wobble' base-pairing, i.e. permitting non-standard base-pairing at the 3rd anti-codon position. The record is from RNAcentral. RNAcentral also lists the same sequence under 1 other name. Lineage: Eukaryota; Fungi; Ascomycota; Dothideomycetes; Pleosporales; Pleosporaceae.